This 468-nucleotide ribosomal RNA is filed under the name uncultured bacterium. RNAcentral's name for it is "partial 16S ribosomal RNA". It matches the Rfam family "Bacterial small subunit ribosomal RNA", at positions 28 to 507 of the family's 1533-position model. The record is from RNAcentral.
GACGAACGCUGGCGGCGUGCUUAACACAUGCAAGUCGAACGGAAAGGCCCUGCUUUUGUGGGGUGCUCGAGUGGCGAACGGGUGAGUAACACGUGAGUAACCUGCCCUUGACUUUGGGAUAACUUCAGGCAACUGGGGCUAAUACCGGAUAGGAGCUCCUGCUGCAUGGUGGGGGUUGGAAAGUUUCGGCGGUUGGGGAUGGACUCGCGGCUUAUCAGCUUGUUGGUGGGGUAGUGGCUUACCAAGGCUUUGGCGGGUAGCCGGCCUGAGAGGGUGACCGGCGACAUUGGGACUGAGAUACGGCCCAGACUCCUACGGGAGGCAGCAGUGGGGAAUAUUGCACAAUGGGCGGAAGCCUGAUGCAGCAACGCCGCGUGCGGGAUGACGGCCUUCGGGUUGUAAACCGCUUUCGCCUGUGACGAAGCGUGAGUGACGGUAAUGGGUAAAGAAGCACCGGCUAACUACGUG